RNAcentral lists this ribosomal RNA (280 nucleotides) under uncultured bacterium. RNAcentral describes it as "partial 16S ribosomal RNA". It matches the Rfam family "Bacterial small subunit ribosomal RNA", at positions 506 to 784 of the family's 1533-position model. The record is from RNAcentral.
UGCCAGCCGCCGCGGUAACACGUAGGCAUCAAGCGUUAUCCGGAUUUAUUGGGCGUAAAGAGCUCGUAGGCUGUUCGGUAAGUCGGGUGUGAAAACUCUGGGCUCAACCCAGAGAGGCCACUCGAUACUGCUGUGACUAGAGUGCGGUAGGGGAGCGGGGAAUUUCUGGUGUAGCGGUGAAGUGCGCAGAUAUCAGAAGGAACACCAGUGGCGAGGGCGGCUCACUGGCUCGAUACUGACGCUGAGGUGCGAAAGUGUGGGGAGCAAACAGGAUUAGAUA